UCCUCGGGCUCGUCCGGUCGCUCUAUCGUGAAUGAAUCUCAGUGUCCGGACUCCGUCGAGGUUUUCAUGCCGGAGGGAGACUACGCGGCGACUCUUUGCCUUGCGGUCGUCACCAUCGAGCCACCCACCGCUUUCCAUAAUGACACCGUCACUGUUCAGGCAGCAGUCCUCCGCUACAUUGGCCACCUCCUGCCGGAGACGAUCCCUUCCUCCGUAGGGGCCAUGUACCUAUGGUUUGCCUCCGCGGCUAAUCGUGAGGAGGUGAUGGGGCGACAUCCAUUCAUGGAUGAGGGAGCCCGCAUCAACCUUCACCAG
RNAcentral lists this ribosomal RNA (315 nucleotides) under Triticum aestivum (bread wheat). RNAcentral's name for it is "partial small subunit ribosomal RNA". The record is from RNAcentral. Lineage: Eukaryota; Viridiplantae; Streptophyta; Magnoliopsida; Poales; Poaceae.